AAAAAAAUAACCAGAUUUUCUAAAAUUAUCCAAACGUAUGUUUAACUAAAAUUUUUACAUGUGUUGCUGCAUGUUGUAUGUAGUAAGUAAAUAUACGACGUGUGUUUAGAAUCUACGUAUGAAUGUAUGUUGCAUAUACAUAUGUAACUCUAGUUUCUAGUUAAAAAGACUUAUGGCAAGUGUUUGUCGUGGGGUGAGGAGGAGGAGGAGUUUCGAGCAUCAAGUGAUGAGUAUAUUACAUAUUUACCUGUAGUACCCAGAUUACAACAAACUUCAACUGCGUUUACCAACAGGAGGAUAAACACAGUAAUUUUUAGAAUGCAACAUGAAAAAAGAGCAGAAAAAUGGUCUAAAAGGGGUACCCUAACUUCAUUCAAAACUACUGGAUCGGUUUCAAGUUUUCCAUUUAAAGAAACAAUUUUCUAUUAAUAUACAUGUAAAAAAAACUAGAAAUAGAUUUUAACAAAAAUAUAUUUAAAAGUCUUUACAAA
Molecule: long non-coding RNA, 491 nt
Organism: Lucilia cuprina (Australian sheep blowfly)
Lineage: Eukaryota; Metazoa; Arthropoda; Insecta; Diptera; Calliphoridae
Exons: 3
Source: RefSeq, a predicted model, not a curated record